This 224-nucleotide ribosomal RNA is filed under the name Vibrio parahaemolyticus. RNAcentral describes it as "partial 23S ribosomal RNA". It matches the Rfam family "Bacterial large subunit ribosomal RNA", at positions 2270 to 2494 of the family's 2925-position model. The record is from RNAcentral. Lineage: Bacteria; Pseudomonadati; Pseudomonadota; Gammaproteobacteria; Vibrionales; Vibrionaceae.
UGACUGGGGCGGUCUCCUCCCAAAGAGUAACGGAGGAGCACGAAGGUGGGCUAAUCACGGUUGGACAUCGUGAGGUUAGUGCAAUGGCAUAAGCCCGCUUGACUGCGAGAAUGACAAUUCGAGCAGGUGCGAAAGCAGGUCAUAGUGAUCCGGUGGUUCUGAAUGGAAGGGCCAUCGCUCAACGGAUAAAAGGUACUCCGGGGAUAACAGGCUGAUACCGCCCA